RNAcentral lists this ribosomal RNA (253 nucleotides) under uncultured bacterium. RNAcentral's name for it is "partial 16S ribosomal RNA". It matches the Rfam family "Bacterial small subunit ribosomal RNA", at positions 524 to 776 of the family's 1533-position model. The record is from RNAcentral.
CACGUAGGGGGCGAGCGUUGUCCGGAUUCAUUGGGCGUAAAGGGCGCGCAGGCGGCCCGGAAAGUCGGAUGUGAAAACUCGAGGCUCAACCUCGAGCGUGCACCCGAUACUGCCGGGCUUGAGGCAGGUAGGGGAGAUCGGAAUUCCUGGUGUAGCGGUGAAAUGCGCAGAUAUCAGGAGGAACACCGGUGGCGAAGGCGGAUCUCUGGGCCUGUCCUGACGCUGAGGCGCGAAAGCUAGGGGAGCAAACAGG